CCUACGGGCGGCAGCAGUAGGGAAUAUUGCUCAAUGGGGGAAACCCUGAAGCAGCAACGCCGCGUGCAGGAUGAAGGUUUUCGGAUUGUAAACUCCUUUUGUUAGAGAAGAUAAUGACGGUAUCUAACGAAUAAGCACCGGCUAACUCCGUUCCAGCAGCCGCGGUAAUACGGAGGGUGCAAGCGUUACUCGGAAUCACUGGGCGUAAAGAGCGCGUAGGCGGGAUAGCAAGUCAGAUGUGAAAUCCUAUGGCUUAACCAUAGAACUGCAUUGUAAACUGUUAUUCUAGAGUAUGGGAGAGGUAGGUGGAAUUCUUGGUGUAGGGGUAAAAUGCGUAGAGAUCAAGAGGAAUACUGAUUGCGAAGGCGACCUGCUAGAACAUAACUGACGCUGAUGCGCGAAAGCGUGGGGAGCAAACAGGAUUAGAUACCCGUGUAGUC
RNAcentral lists this ribosomal RNA (440 nucleotides) under uncultured bacterium. Its description in RNAcentral is "partial 16S ribosomal RNA". It matches the Rfam family "Bacterial small subunit ribosomal RNA", at positions 338 to 795 of the family's 1533-position model. The record is from RNAcentral.